GUUUCCUUCGGGAAAUUAGUAAAGUGGCGCAAGGGUGAGUAUCACGUGAAUAAUCUGCCCUCGAGAUCGGGAUAACAUGGUGAAAACUAUGCUAAUACCGGAUAAGACCACAUUUCAUAAGAAAUGCGGUAAAAGAAGUCUCAAUCUUCACUCGAGGAUGAGUUCGCGCAACAUUAGCUUGUUGGUAAGAUAAAAGCUUACCAAGGCUACGAUGUUUAGCCGGCCUGAGAGGGUGAACGGCCACACUGGAACUGAGACACGGUCCAGACUCCUACGGGAGGCAGCAGUGGGGAAUAUUGCGCAAUGGGCGAAAGCCUGACGCAGCAACGCCGUGUGAGCGAUGAAGGCUUUAGAGUCGUAAAGCUCUGUCAAAUGGGAAGAAUUCUGACGGUACCAUUAGAGGAAGCCCCGGCUAACUCCGUGCCAGCAGCCGCGGUAAUACGGAGGGGGCAAGCGUUGUUCGGAAUUAUUGGGCGUAAAGCGUAUGUAGGCGGCUAAGUAAGUCAGGCGUGCAAGCCCGUGGCUCAACCACGGAAUUGCGUUUGGAACUACUUAGCUUGAGUACAGGAGAGGAAAGCGGAAUUCCCAGUGUAGCGGUGAAAUGCAUUGAUAUUGGGAAGAACAUCUGUGGCGAAGGCGGCUUUCUGGUCUGUUACUGACGCUGAGAUACGAAAGCCAGGGUAGCGAACGGGAUUAGAUACCCCGGUAGUCCUGGCUGUAAACGAUGGGCACUAGGUGGAGGAGGUAUCGAUCCCCUCUCUGCCGUAGCUAACGCGUUAAGU
RNAcentral lists this ribosomal RNA (782 nucleotides) under uncultured bacterium. RNAcentral's name for it is "bacterial SSU rRNA". It matches the Rfam family "Bacterial small subunit ribosomal RNA", at positions 73 to 865 of the family's 1533-position model. The record is from RNAcentral.